AUUGAACGCUGGCGGCAGGCCUAACACAUGCAAGUCGAAUGGUAACAGGAAACAGCUUGCUGUUUCGCUGACGAGUGGCGGACGGGUGAGUAAUGUCUGGGAAACUGCCUGAUGGAGGGGGAUAACUACUGGAAACGGUAGCUAAUACCGCAUAACGUCGCAAGACCAAAGAGGGGGACCUUCGGGCCUCUUGCCAUCAGAUGUGCCCAGAUGGGAUUAGCUAGUAGGUGGGGUAACGGCUCACCUAGGCGACGAUCCCUAGCUGGUCUGAGAGGAUGACCAGCCACACUGGAACUGAGACACGGUCCAGACUCCUACGGGAGGCAGCAGUGGGGAAUAUUGCACAAUGGGCGCAAGCCUGAUGCAGCCAUGCCGCGUGUAUGAAGAGGGCCUUCGGGUUGUAAAGUACUUUCAGCGGGGAGGAAGGGAGUAAAGUUAAUACCUUUGCUCAUUGACGUUACCCGCAGAAGAAGCACCGGCUAACUCCGUG
RNAcentral lists this ribosomal RNA (490 nucleotides) under uncultured bacterium. Its description in RNAcentral is "partial 16S ribosomal RNA". It matches the Rfam family "Bacterial small subunit ribosomal RNA", at positions 30 to 507 of the family's 1533-position model. The record is from RNAcentral.